Long non-coding RNA from Gallus gallus (chicken), 3196 nucleotides. RefSeq lists it as uncharacterized. NCBI's taxonomy places the organism in Eukaryota, Metazoa, Chordata, Aves, Galliformes, Phasianidae. The transcript has 6 exons. The record is from RefSeq and is a predicted model, not a curated record.
AGAGCAGGCAGCCGCGCCGACGGGCUGCCGGGAUCAGGGGUGCGUUAUGCACCAGUACUGGUGCCGUUUUGAGGUCUCAGCCUUCCUCGUCCAGCCACGUUAGUAGCACCCUAAAGCCGUUAACGUGCGGCUUCGCUUUUCUCUGCCUCAGCCUCGCUCACAUGUGAUGCUGGGCCCCAAAACUGGGCAAGAUAACCUUCCGAGUCUCAAAAAUCACAACGCUCAACCUUAAUUUCCAAUACCCAAUGAGGCCAAUGUAAGUUCCGAGCCCCCAAAACGCAUUACUUAAUCGAUGCUGUGAGUUGUAAACGAGCCAUUUUGAAGCCUCUAUUUCUUAACCCCCAAACCAGCCACAUAAGGCUAGACCCAAAUUCUAAGAGCACAGCACUUAACCCCAGCUCUCAAGCCUGCAGAGCAGCGCAGUACGCCUGCUUUCAAGCCCUAAGGAAGCAGAAUUCAGUCUCCAUUUUCAAGACUUAGAAAGGCACGAUACCAUCUGUUCCCAAGCCCACAAACCAGACGCAGAGAGCAGCACAAAGUCCAUCUGAGCCCCCAGGAUGGGGCCAAAGCUCGGAACCCACUUCCCCCACACUAACCUCAGCCACCAAGCUCUGUCUACUGCCACUGCUCGCAUCCGAGGAGCUCCGCACACUACAGCCCUACUGAGGAGCCGCCUCAGGCUGUUAUGACCUGAGGCCGUUACCAACGGCCACCUGUGGGCAGAGCCAGCAGAUACUCUGUUGAACCUUUUUCAGUUGAAAAAUGGAUUUUGUAAGUCAGUGUGUGGUCCCAGUUCAGGGCACAGUAGUAAACACUGCUCUGAGAUUCUUCCUUUGGGUUUUUAGUUUUUAGGUUAAUUCUGCACAACCUAGUCAACAAUUUCCUAUUCAGUAUGGAAGUGCUUGUAUCCUUCUGCUGCUGGUCACGUGUUUGUUUCUAGAGAAUUUGGGAGAGCUAUAGAAGCCCAGGAGCCAGGAAGACAUUAUCUACUGCUGAUUUUCACAUUUUGGACAUCUCCGACCAGUGCAGACGGGAACAUUCACCAUAGGCACAGCUCCAACAUCAGAGGUGUGAGGUGCUACCAAAGGUUCUUCUGCAUGACUGCCCAUGCUUCUCAUCAUGCCUCAAACCAAACCUGAGGGAGGAACUUACCAAGAAAAUGAGGAGAAGCCUCGUCUUCUUGGAUAAACACAUGUCGAGCACCAGGAGGGAUGUCAAACAUCUUAAGAAAAGCACAGCAACUGCCAGCUCAAGAAGCACAGAGGCCUAUAUAAGAGGCUCAAAUUAUAGUCUUAAUUCCAUUACUCCCCACAUCACAGUAGUUCUUGCAUAAUUUCAUGACUAAUCCACCAGCUGCUUUCAUCACUUUAAGACAGGUUUUCAAAUGGCACUUACAACUACAAGCAGUAAACUUCUCCAGUUGGUUUGUAAUUAAUACGUAUUUUCAGCAGAAUAUUUUACGUAUUUUCUUUCCAUUUGCACAUUAUCUUUGUCUCAGUUUAGUUUGGUUAGUCACUUACUGUCCAAAUGUAAUUACUGAUACUGCAAUAAAGCUUGCUUCAUUCAGCAAUUACCAGUUUUUUAAACUGUUAAUGCAGAUAUUCAUGUUAUCUAUCCCUAAGUCUGCUACCAGUCAUACAGAAGAUGCAUAUCCCUGAGUACCUUCUCCAAACUGAAAUAAAAGCAACAUAGGAAAGUCUUAGAAUACACAAUAUUCUUAAAAAUAUAUAUAUACAAGAUUAUACUGCCCUAGCUCAACAAAUAACUGAUCAGAUAGAAAUUUCUGAGAAGUCCAACGGGUCUUAAAUUAUUACUAAUAAGAGAUGUGUUAUAGAGUACCGCAGUCCAGUCUGAAAACUUUAACCGGGUUAAUGUCAUCAUAUGUUUCACUGGAUGUAAUUUGCACCACUUAAGCCAAAUGAGGGUUUCUGCCAAAAUGUUUCUGUCUUUGGUUCAGAAUUAAGUUGAAUUUAUUUUUCAUUUGUUUAUUUGACUAGAAGGCUACAAUUUGUGACAAGACUGAUUUGACACGAGGAUCCACACGUUCAUAUGAAAAAAAGUUCAGAACUUCACUUAUAACUCUUGAGUUUAGGCUUAAGAAAAAAAACUUCAGAAAAGCUUACACUUCAAAGGGAGGAAGAAUAUUUCUUCUAGUCCUCCUCCAGAAAAAGGCAUGCUAUACUUAGCAUCAGGCAAAGCACCUCAAUUUCUUCUGAAUGUCACUGUUAGGACAAUAGUUAAUAUUUUUUUGGCAGAACUCAGUGUAUCCCCGUUUAGCACAAACACUGUCUGUGGGCUUCAACAUUUACAAAGAACUAAACGUGCUCUGCCUGGGGAGUAUUUCUGGAUACAAUGCACAAAUCGAGUUUUCUCCUAAUAGGUCCUUCAAAAGACAGAAACAUUACAGUGUUUUAAAGGAUCUCACUUCUUUAUCAAGCACCAAACUAUUCUGGCACAUCAAGCUAAAAUUUUUGUUUUGCUACCUUGAAGUAAGCCACGUUUCUGAUCAGUCUUCAAAAACAAUAAGCAUGACAGAAACAUGUGAGAUAAUAGAAACUAUAUUCAGAUGCAUGAAUUUGCUAUUCCUACCAAGCUUUUUGGGAGUGCGGGUAAAGGUUCCUUUCACAGUUCGGCAAUGGGAGUUAUCUCCACCACAGACACCACACUUAUCUUCAGCCUUAUUGGAACCAAUUUCCUUGUCACAACCCACUUUCUGCAGAAUGAAGAGCAAAAAGAAACAUGGCUUUAUCAUAAGCUGUAAGGGUUAGCUGUAGAGGGAAGCAAUCUCAAAAUCAAUGCAUAGAGGAAAUUACCACCCAACACUGAUCUAUUUCAUUUAAAUACAAAUUACUUGAAAGCCUGUUGCUGGGUAAUGGUUGCCAGGUGAAAAAUAGGAAUUGAUUCCCAGAUUAUAUCCACUGUACGUCAAAACAAGGAAAGAUGGUAAAGAGAAAAAUAGGGACAAUUCCUUUCAGAUGCAAACCUAAGUGCAAAAAUGGCAAAUGAAAUUAUCAGUUGAAUAAAAAUAAAGUGUUUUCAUGGAAUGGACCUGUGUCAUUGCUCUAAUGCAAUUUAAUUCUGAAGUAAUUAUGAGGAAUAUGAUGCUGCAAAUAUUUCACAGCAUCUGCAAAGUCUAUCUCUUUUUUUCCUGAUUGCUGCUAAACAGUUAUUCAACACAGCACAGUCCAAACUCAGC